Molecule: transfer RNA, 75 nt
Filed under: Callisaurus draconoides
Lineage: Eukaryota; Metazoa; Chordata; Lepidosauria; Squamata; Phrynosomatidae
Description: tRNA-Gln
Rfam family: tRNA
About the family: Transfer RNA (tRNA) molecules are approximately 80 nucleotides in length.
Source: RNAcentral
UUUAGUAGAAGGUAGUAUAAUGAAGUACUAAAGAUUUUGGGUCUUUAUGCGCGGGUUCAAGUCCUGUUCUUCUAA